CCUGGCUCAGGACGAACGCUGGCGGCGUGCUUAACACAUGCNAGUCGAACGAUGAAGCCGCUUCGGUGGUGGAUUAGUGGCGAACGGGUGAGUAACACGUGGGUAACCUGCCCUGUACUUUGGGAUAAGCCCUGGAAACGGGGUCUAAUACCGGAUAUGAUCUAUCACCGCAUGGUGGUGGGUGGAAAGCUCCGGCGGUAUGGGAUGGACCCGCGGCCUAUCAGCUUGUUGGUGGGGUGAUGGCCUACCAAGGCGACGACGGGUAGCCGGCCUGAGAGGGNNACCGGCCACACUGGGACUGANACACGGCCCAGACUCCUACGGGAGGCAGCAGUGGGGAAUAUUGCACAAUGGGCGAAAGCCUGAUGCAGCGACGCCGCGUGAGGGAUGACGGCCUUCGGGUUGUAAACCUCUU
This 415-nucleotide ribosomal RNA is filed under the name uncultured Actinomycetales bacterium. Its description in RNAcentral is "bacterial SSU rRNA". It matches the Rfam family "Bacterial small subunit ribosomal RNA", at positions 18 to 435 of the family's 1533-position model. Lineage: Bacteria; Bacillati; Actinomycetota; Actinomycetes; Actinomycetales. The record is from RNAcentral.